RNAcentral lists this long non-coding RNA (20132 nucleotides) under Setaria viridis. RNAcentral's name for it is "long non-coding RNA (SVIR_LNC007217)". Lineage: Eukaryota; Viridiplantae; Streptophyta; Magnoliopsida; Poales; Poaceae. The record is from RNAcentral.
CGAACGAUGCCGUUGAGAGUUGCGACCAAGCCUGCUCUAGCUUCUGCAGCGUGCAUGUUGGCAGCGCCACCGUGGUUGCUUAAGCAAAUGCAUCCAACUAGAUCGUCCUUGUGCUGAAUAAUUGGAUAUCGUAUCCACUUAAAGCUGCCUUGUGUAGUACGUCUUUGUGUCUCUCUUUAUAUUCCAAUAAGGUCGGUGAUCUUGAUGCCACACACUCAGAUGUGUGUUCAUCUCCAGAUACUACUCCAUGCUACCUGCCCUUUGUGUUUUGUUCAAUAACUGGGUAUCAUAUCCCAGCCAGUAUGCCGUCUGUUUUGUGUUUGUUUCCUUCUAGUUCCAAAGGGGUCAUCAUGAUGUUACCUUCUUUCAAUAUGGUGCUUUGCAUGACUACUGUUGUAUGGUACCAUCUUGUGGCCAAUAAGUACAUCUUAUCCUAUGACCUUUGCUAUGACCCUUUGCAAAUAAGUAGAAGAUUGUUAUAAGCGUCAAUACUCCGUAUAAAUUGAUCGCUGCUGUGAGUUCCCUUUCAGCUUAUCGUAGGCAUACAUUAUUGCUAGCACGGUAAAGCCAACCAACACGAAUGAUGAAGUAAACGUAGCGGUACUUCUGUAUACCAACACCCUUACUUAAAUGUACCGGUGUCAUUCCCUACUGGCACAUAUAUUCUUAUAUGCUAGCCAGCUUGUAAAAUUAACCAAUUAAAAUAAUUAUUUCAAGAUAGAAAUAACUUAUCGGUUUCUGGAAGCAUGUGUAAUGUGAAUUCAAGGACUCGACGGAAGUUGAAUCACUUCAUCUAUAUUGCUUUCAGUAUUUUGGGUAACUAAAUUUAACAUUUGCACAUACAAAUGUUAAAGUACAAAUGUUAAAUCUAGUUACCCAAGCAGAAUAUGAAGAUAGUUUAUAGUAUAUAUAUACUAUAUAAAUCUAGUUAACAUUUAGUCUAAAUGUUAAAUCUAGUUACCUAAAAUCCUGAAAGCAAAAUGUAUAAAUAUAUAUCUUUUAAGGCAGUAUAAGCUUCGAUUCCUAUUGCUGCUCUGUUAAAUCUCAUCUUUCGUUGUGGCCCAACACUCUAGUAUGCAUGUUGCACCAAGCUUCUUUGAGCCGCUCUGCCCUCUGAUUUUGCUGCGUAGGGGAAUCUUUAUCAGGUUGGGCUACUUCCAGUUGUGCGAUGUAAAGAUUCGUAUUUUCUAGAAGGUAGACAAAAAACUCGCGUUCUCUUAAGGCAACAACCGGAAGAUUCUGCAGCGCACAGGGCAUACCAUUAUUGUAGAAACGACCUUUAGUACCGAUCUCCAACCCCCUUUAAAACUGGUUUUGCAACCGGUACCGUUAUGUCGGUCCUUUAGUACCAGAUCAAAUAAGUACCGGUUGGUAACCAGUAUCAACUUGUUUUGCGGCCAAAAAAAUAAAGAAAAAAACAGUCAGAAGGCUCGCGCACACGCGCAUCACAUGAAAUAUGCGUGUGCGGGGUCCAUGGGAUUCGAACCCAUGAAAUCAAGCUGCGCGCGACCCUUCGUUACCAUCUCACCUACAUAGCGCAUAUGCUUUCCUGAAGUAACCCGUGGAGGAGGCUUUAGUACCGGGUCAUAACACCACCCGGUACUAAAAAUGACUCUUCAGUACCGGGUCAUAACACCACCCGAUACUAGUAUCGGAUGGUGUAAUGACCCGAUACUAAAAGGCCUCUAGGGACCCUCAAAUUUGAACCCGGUACUAAUGCUAAUAUUAGUAGCGGGUCAAAGUGCAGCCAGAACUAAAGCAUGGGAUGAAAGGUCAUAUUUCUAGUAGUGUAUAGUUGUUGUGAAGGACUGACUUGGCUGUCCUCUCUCUUCUCCAUCCCCUUGGUCUUACGCCGCCGCUCGCACGCGAGCCGGUGCCCAACCAGAGGAGUGAGAGCUAGGGGCAGGUUGGGAGGUGGGGAUAGUGACUGGUGGCCAGGGUGAUGGUUGAUCCUGGUGGGGUUAGGGUUUUAGGGUUUUCGAGCUUCCUAUGGUCGGCGAACCUAGAGGAGGAGCUCAACAUCAGCUGCAACCCGCGAUGGUGGUGGUUUGGCCGGCGCCCGAGGCGAGGCAGCGCGGGAGUGCUGCCGGUGGGUUGGUGUUGGCACUCAUUAUUGACAACUAUUUUGUUCAUAAAAUAACACUCAAACUUGCUGCUGCUGCUGCUGCUGCCAUCGCCACCCUAGCCAUAAUAUAAAGGCAAAAUUUGCUAAAGGACAUGCAAAAUGAUGCUAGUUUGCUGGCGGGCAUCGUUGACCUUGUAAUAUGCUACAAGACACUCUAGUUGUGUAUCAAUUUGCUGAAAGACAUUGCUAUGACUAAAAUAAUGUUUCUGGACUGAGUUGGAGAGAGAGAUGGAGUGAAAUGUCUGUUUUGCCCAUGACCCCACUGGUCAGAUCCUUCUUCUUCCACCCUCCUUUGUUCUUUCUUCAACCAUUACCCAGCUCCAGCGUGUUGCAGAUCUACGAGGGUGGCGGCCUGGGGCGAGGGGCAUCGCUCGCCCUUGGAGGAGCGCUGCGAGCGACGGCGCGGGGGCGGCAACAGCGCGUCAGAACCUGACUGUUCGUUAGCUCCUCUCGCUGCUGGGGAAGGAGGGGGAUGGGCCAUGGACGGGGUUCCCUUGAAAACCUCAGCGUCGAGCUCGGGCGGCUACGCGCAGGCAGCACUAGGCUGCUUCACGGGGAGGGGGCGCGGCCAAUCAUUGGCACCCCACUGGUCCAAUGCUGAUGAAGAUGGUGCCAGCGUCGUGUGAGGACAUCUCAUCUCCUCGAGUUCCAUGGCCAGCACAGGUGAGCUGCCGCUACCACAAAACAGAGGUUUCGUGAGAGUCAAAAAACCUUAUGAAAAUAGCUAAAACCAUCAUGAAAAUAAUCCGUGACAUGACACUCUCACGAAAAUCCUCUCACAAAUAUGGUGCCAUGAAAAUACCAUUUUCAUGAGAGUGAACUGUCAUGAUUUUAUUUCGUGAGAGUAUUUCCUAUCAAUGACCUCCACGAAAUACUUUGUGCCACCAGGUCUUCAAGAUCAUUUUCAUGAGAGCUGAACAUCAGGAAAAGUCCGCCACAAAUGUUUUUCUUGGAGCCCCUAACUCUCAUGAAAAUCAUGCGGGCCGCCACGAAAAACAGCAUGACCAAAUGACAAAUUUCAUUUUCAUGUGUUCAUACCGCCAUGAAAAUGGUCAUUUUCAUGAGAGUUGAUGAAACAAAAAAUAGUGCCAUUUUCAUGAGAGUUCAAGCAACCAGGAAAAGACACUAAUAAACAUCCAGAUCCCAUCCAGCACACAUCCAUGCACAUAUAUAACCCACAUAUUGCUCCAGCACACAUCCAUGCAUAUACAAGAUCCAAAUGUUAAUAUAGUAGACAUCCAUGCCUGAACUAGUCUGCCACACAAGUCAUUGAUGCUACAAAUCCUACAAUCGCAGCAUGUGCAUACAAGUCACAGAAUGAGACAAUGUACCCAAAACUAAAAGGUUAGCAUCAACUGUGCUUCAACCAAAGUUGUCAUCCCAACUCUCCUCUUCAUCCAUGCCAUUCUUGUCGUGGCCGUCACUGUCAGUCCCCAUGGCAUUGCCAAUGCUGUGCAUGUCUUGGUAGGAACCUACAUGUGAUGAACUAGUAACCUGCAAAAAGAGCUCAAAGGAUCUUGUUCUCAUAUUGUAGCUGUGAAAUUCUUACAAGUAGUGUUGCAAUCAGUUCACUUUGAACCAAAAGAGCUCAAAGGAUCUUGUCCUAAAAGUUCCUCAUAAAGCUUAUGGGUUUGCUGGUGGAACUGGAAGGGCUUGAUGCAGCAGAUGCCAUUCUGCAAUAGAGAAAAAUUUAGAGAGCAGUACUAGUUAAAAUUGGAUGCAGAAGAUACACAUGAAACUAGUAUUUAUACAAGUCUAUACAAUUAAAAUCUAAGGAGACUUAUCAUCGUUUUCAUGUGUUGUGAAUUAAAAUAAUGAAGGAUACACUGUUAGGUGAAAAUUCAAGAAACAAAAUUUUGCAUAGAGAUAAAGGUCCAACAUUAUUACAAGUUAAGGUAGUUUUAAAUAUCCUUGUAAUCUUCCUUUGGUUUCCUCAACGAUUCGAAGACAAUAACCUUGCUUCUAUCAAUGAUAAUUAUAAGGAGAAUCCAGUGGAAACUGUGUAUUCGUAUUAGAACUACCUAAGGUUAAUUAGGUUAGGAAAGGAAAUUGAAAAUAGAUGGUACCCACACUUACUUAAAGUUGUCGGGCAAUAGUAUGUAAUGCUUGUAAUUCCGUUGCUCCAAGAAUUUGUAUAUGUGGUCCAAUGUAGACUUUGGUUGAUCCCGUAUCUGCUGUUGGUUAAAUAAGUGUUUCUAGCCAUUUCUAGCCAUUAGAACCGGGACUAAAGGGGGCUCUUUAGUACGGGUUGAUAUUACUAACCGGGAUUAAAGAGCCCCCAUUAGAGUUGGUUUUUGGAUGCGGAACUAACAACUCCUUUAGUCCUGAGUACGAAAACAACUGACAUAUUUGUUGCUGGAUGGAAGGUCCUUUCUCUACCGUGAAUAUUGCCAGAAAGAAUUGAAAGAGACUGCUUGCUAAAAAUAUGUCAUAGAUGUAGACCAAGCUACCAAGGAGGUAGACCAAACAUGAUACACACCAUGCGUACCUUGCUGUGCAGACUAUGCAUUGACAAGAUACCCGACCACAUGUUGGCCUCGGUCACAUCAAAAGAAUCAUGUAGGCCACCAAUAAACUACUUGAAGCGGCAUUCCGUAUCGUAUAUGCAUUGCCGGUUCAUCUGCAUUACAUUACAUAAAGCACUAUUAACUAUUUGAAUAAAAUGAACCAAUUUAAAAGUAAUGUGUUGUACUCUACUAUAGAAAGCCCUAUCACUGCCGGAUCCAAAAACAUCAUUGUUAAUGGUGGUUAAGUACCAAAUAUGACGGUCAAUAUUCUCAAGAAUAAUGGAGAAUUAGCAUUUCUUAGACACAUAUUUGGUUUUGAACAAUGUAGUUCCACAUGUCUUUGGAGAUUAUUUGGGUGUGGGUGAAAUAAUACAAAAAUAAGGAGAAAACACACUCCCAUGGCGAAGAAACACAACUCCAACCAAUGAGAGAUAGCCACAGGGGCAGCACACGGAUCCAUGGGCCCACUAACCGCAUCAAACCAUCUUACCAAGGCAGGUAGCACCCACAACCGUCAUUAGGACCCACCUGGAAGUCUACCAAGAAGAAGGUUGCGAGUGGGGCCAGGAGGGGUUCGGUUGAAUCAUCUCUAGCUAGCUCCCCUCAUCCCCAGCUGGUGGGUGGUGGUGGUUGAUGGUGUCCCUACAUCAGUUAGAGGAGAUUCCCCCAAAUAUUCCUCCUGUAAACCACCUCUAUGGACCUAUACAUAGAGGGGUGUGCUCUCCAUUCCAACACACACCACAAGUUGAAUCACUCUCUCCCUCUUUAGUUUCCAAGUUUAUGGAGUUAGGCUAGAGUAGCUCUGCUCAAGGUUCCAAGUCCACUUGGAGUUAAGCAUAUGUCUCUUGUAUCGUUAUUUCCUAAAUUGACUUUAUGCUUAGUUCUUAUAUGCAUGAGUUAGUCUAAUACCCUUGCUAUAUUGAUAUGCUCGGCUUAUAUGCUCGUAUGCUAGUCAUAUACCCUUGCUGUCGUAGUAUAGGCUUAUAUGCUCUCAUGUGUGCCUGUAGACCUUGCUAUAGUAUAUACUUGUUGUGCAUACAUACCAUGUAUAGGCUAGUCGAUCUAUACCAUGGCAUUGGUUCAAUAGCCAUGUUUUUGGUGGCUCCAACCCUAGUCACAAUAGCUCGGGACAGCUGGAGUGUUGUUAAAAAUGCAAGAGUGGUGCUUGGGUUGUUUAGCAUCGUUGGAUAUGGGUUUGCCCCACGGGUUUCUAACGGUAGGCGGCAGCUAGUGACAUCCCUGUCCGUCCUUCGUAAUCCCCCCACAUUCAGGUACGCCAUAAAUGUUCGUAAAUUAGCAGUAACUACGCCGGUACACCUGUAGGGUAUUGUCUCCCUGUAGUACCUUGGUGCAUAGAACUAAGUCCUAUACACUGUGUGUGUAUGUUUACGCUGAUAUGAUCUGUGCAGUAUAUAGGAUGUAUAUAUGAACCUAGAGCUAACUCCUAGUCCGUUCUCCAUAGCUUAGUUAUCUUGAGAUGAUUCUUCUGUAUGUGUAACACUACCCAUCUUAUCAUUAUCCUUGAUCCUGUCUUGUGUAAUAUAUCUACUCAUCCUAUGAUAUACUCAUAUGCAUAGUAAACUAUUUUGACCUACCCGCCUUCCUUUGGGAAAUAUGAUACCUUGGAAUAAUCCUAGGUGAAAUCCUACAACGGUAUAUCCAUGUAAAUGCGGAUUUAUUCAUGACCAUUAAAUAUACCAACAAUCAUCACUGUGAGUUUUGGGCGUCGUUAGUGAAGGGUUGGUAGUGAUGGGCAUCCCCUUCACCAAUGGACCUGGAACCGGCGGUGAUGGCUAUUAUAAAAAAGGGGACACCACCCAGCGUACCCCACGACCCGGCCGGCCGCACCUCCCAUCAUCCCCGCCAGCCGCCCUUCCUUUUCGCCGGCCGAGCAUGGUCCCGGCCUUUGUCCCUACCACCUCGCCUCCACCGCGACCCCCCGCCGAUGCCCUCGUGCCUGGCCCCCCUCAUCUUGCCGGCCACCCUCCCGAUGCGUCCACUGGGGCCCUCGCACCACCAACCGCCCUUGCUUAGAGAGGGAGAGAGAGGAGGGAGGUGAGGCCACGCACCUCGUCCUACACCGCCGCUGUUUCUCCUCGGCCCACCGCGCCUCACCCCACACCACAGCCGCGCCUUGCCAUCUUACCGGCUGUGACGCCUCAUCUCACCGGCCACCGUUCCUCACCCCCACUUCGGUCGUCGCCGCUCCUUGCCCUACCGCUGCUCUUUGCCGCUGCGAAUGAGCGCCGAGUGGAGGAGGAGGGAUGGGGCAGGAGGAGGGCAAGAUCCGGGAGGAAGGGAGAGAUCUCGGGAGGUGGAGAUGGAAGGAUAUGGCGGAAGGGAGAGAUCCAGAGGGAGAGAGCAGGGGAGAGAGGGGGGCGUGUGGGGAGAGAGCGCGUGUGGGGUGGGGCCGGGCUGGUGGGAUGGAAGGGAGAGGGGCUAGACGGGCGCAGUGCAUUCAACUGGAUGAAGUAAAUAUUUUGGAUUCGAGACCCCAGCUUUAUUAUCACCGCUGGUCCGUAGUACCAUCCGGUGCCUGCUCGUAAUUUAAUUUGAAUCUGCGGUGAUGUUUUAUUAUCACCAUCGGAUCAUAUAAAAAUCCGGCGGUUAAAAAUCCGCUGGUUUCGAUGAAAACCGACGGUGAUAGGAUGACUGUGAUAGUCUCUUCUCUAGUAGUGGUAUAUUAGUACCGGCUGCCGGAUGGUGUUGCCGACCAGUACUUCUCCGGGGGCGAUUCAGUACUGCUGUUAGCAAAGCUUGUUCUCUAUGAAUUUGGGGAUGGAAAGCUAGUUCUCUAGUUGUGAUUUGUUACAUAUAUAUCUAUGAUAGUCUAGAAAUUGCAUGUCCUUCGUUGACAUAGUUGAAGCUGCUUCAAGAAUUUACUUCGUGCAGUCGUGCAGCAUAUUGGAUUAUCACCUAGACAGGAUACAUAGGUGAAGCAUUGGAUGUGAUUGUGGCCGAUAAUUAUGCAGGACGCUGUUGCAAUCAACCACCAAGAAGUCUGGAGUGAUGGGGUUGCCUCAUCAAUAAUUUUUAUAUAUGGCUGCAGUAUUAUUAAGCCCACGUCAAUAAUUUUUUGUCCGCACCAUAUAUCGAUGGGGUUGCCUCAUCAAUAAUUCGCGCAACCAGACAAGCUGCAGACUCAAUAUGGUACGAAGCUAGUUGCUCAGCCCACAUGCUCUGAUAUAACAUUGACAUCUGCUGAUCUACAGUAUAUAUGACCAGAAAUAUUGUGCCCACCUCAAUAACUUUCUGAAGUAUCGUGGGGAAGAACCUACGCGUACUAUGCCUCGGAACUAACUGACAUAUCGGCCCAGGCGGUCUAGGCCGAUUGGACUGGCUCUUCCUUGUGGCUUCUCACAUCCCCUUCGUCCCCAAGUAAUUUCAGGUGUUCUGUAGUUUUCUUUUCACUUGCAUCUGAGCCUCCUAUAUCAAUAGCUUCGGGAUAAGAAUGCCUCUUGAUAACCUUCCAAAUCCUCGCUUGAUUCACAUUGAUUCCGAAAUCAUCUUGCCAUAUCUUCAGAGACUUAGGUCCUAAGGCAUCAUGGAGGAUUGCUCGCCAAGAAUGAGCACCAUUGGGCUCCUGAGGACCCUAGGCCGAUCAGCCCGGGCUCUAUAGGUCGAUUGGCCCAGGCCCUCUCUGGGCCUGUUGGCCUUCAUCUUUCUUUGAGUCGACGCUUAUUCAGGGCUUUGUCCAAUUAUAGUCCAUUAUAGUCUAAUUUCCUAAAAAACAGAAUGUCCUCCAAAAUACAAUGCAUAUGUGAAAACAACCCAAUUAUUAGGUAUGAUCAAUAGUUUAGGUAUUAAAUUAAUAUUAUUAUUUAAGAUAAACAGGGGUAAAGGGUGUCAUUAAUAACAAGCGCCAACAAGCGUCCUAGCUGUUCAAUAAAUUUUUUCUAGUACCGAUUGGUAACACUAACCGGUGCUAAUAUGUACCCUUUAUUACCGGUUAUUUUACCAGGUACUAAAGGAGACAAGAGCAUCCUAACAUAAGGUUAAUAUCAUCCAUUUCAUGAGUAAAAUACUAUGAUUCAAAAAUAAUUCAAAUCCCUUAAGACAAUACCUAUCAAAUGAGUAAAUUGUAAAUAGAGUAAUCUUGAUCAAACAAUGUCCUAAUGAAACGGAACACUUCUGGUUCGUGUAGAGCACAAUAUAGAAAACAGUAGGGUAGCUGUAUGAUUGACACGUGGUCCAUUAAUUAUUGAGCCAACACUAUGGACAUGUCUUCAUGAGUAGUGUACUAGUCAUAAUACAUGGUAUGCAGUAGGUGGAGGUAUUGACUUAGCCAUGCUAUGAGCACUUAGUUACAACAAACACUUUGCCAUUAUCGAGCAUCCCAAAUCACUACAAAAUCCAUAGUUUACCAUAUACUACAAAAUCUGAGUUAAAAUAAGAGCAUACACGGAAGAGUCCGAAUGCACGGCACAUUGAAUUACUAGACAAAAUUUAUGGGACAAGGUUUUGGGUAACCGCAUGAAAAAUAUUGGAUUUUACUGAACACUUAGUUACAAUUACCAUGCCCGUGAGCACUUAGUCACCACAAACAUUUAACCACUUUAGAUCAUCCUGAAUCCCUAUAAAUUCUAUACCUUACACCGUACCAUGAAAACGACAAGAACAGAGACAGAUGCGGUGAAAAUCUCCAGAGCAAGCCUGAAAUUAAAAUAAGAGGAGGCAGUCACUAUCGACAGGACACGGAGAUUGCUAGCCAUGACAGAGGAAGACAUGAUAUGAUAUUCACCUCUGAAAUGCAGCGUAGACUAAAUGAAGCACAAUUGCAAGUGAGUGUGGCAGAUAAUGGACCAUCGAGACCAUCGAAUGGUAUGAAGCAUGAUUAUCACCUAGACAUGAUAUCCUAGACAGGACGGUGAAUUGUAAAAAGAGUAAUCUUGAUCAAAGAAUGUCCUAAUGAAACGGAACAUUUUUGGUACGUGUAGAGCAAAAUAUAGAAAACAGUAGAGUAGUUGUACGAUUGAAACUGCAUCCAUCGACGUGGUGCAUGAAUUGUUGAGCCAACACUGUGGACAUGUCUUCAUGAACACCAUCUAGUGAGGACAGCAUGCAGAAAAAUAUAAAAACAUGUCAUAGGGAGGCAGACCAAUCUUGCGAGGUAGACGAAACGUGAUACACGAUCUGCCUACCUUGUCGUGUGGAUACCCCAAGUGAAGAUGUCAUAGAGGUGCAGACCAAGCUAGCAAGGAGGUAGAUGAAACGUGAUACACGGCCUGCCUACCUUGCCGUGGAUAUUAGUCCUGAUAUCAUUCUAUUGUUCAAGGAAUAACACUCAAUGCUGCUGCUGCUGCUGACCUGGCUCCAUAAAGUUAUAUUCCUCUAGCCGCUUGCACUAACUUUAUCUGAAGUAUUAUUCUCUCUGCACUGUAUAUAUGGUUACGGAGUUUGCUGGAGUAUCCGGGGGGAAGAACCUACAUAAUAUGUCUUGGAACUAACUGACAUUGAUUCACAGACAAGGUGCUGUUGUUGACAUGGUACAGUAAAUAAUAUAGUUUACCAUAUACCGUAUACCAUUAUAUGUUAGCUAAAAUAAGAGCAUAACAUGUCGCAGGAGUCCAAAAGCACCGGUUGAGGACCAGGUACAUUAAAUUACUAGAAAACAAAAGGGGACAAGGUUUAGGUAGCCACAUGAAAAACAUUUGAAUUUACUGUACCAUGAACACUUAGUUACCAUGCCGGGAGCACCUAGUUAACACUAACAUUUAGCCACUUUAGAUCAUCCCGAAACACCAAUGACCCUCAAUAGCGACAAAUUUUGGUUUAAAUGCCGUCACCAAUGAUCCUCAAUAGUGACGUGUUUAGGUUUAAAUCCCAUCACUAAUAACCCUUGGUAGUGACGUGUUUUGGUUUAAAUCUCAUCACCACUGAUCCUCACUAGUGACGUGUUUUUAGCAACACACGUUAUGAAUGACUUGUCAUUGGUGACAUGUUAAACGCGUUAUCUCAAUGGCAAAUCAAUGGUGACGUGUUUAAAAAAACAUGUCACUGUGAGAGUUAUUGGUGAAGGGUAAUUAAAAUGCAUCACUAAUUUUGUAGCAUUAGUUAUGAUAUAAUUUUGUAACGCAAAAAUCUACCAUAGUAAUGAGGUUUAGAGCCAUCACUAAUGUGGGUUUCUUAUCGUAGUGAUGCAAGCUCUACAAGGUGCUGUUGUUGCCAUUUUAAAGCAUCCCAAAUGACUACAAGAGUCCGGUUGAGGACUAAACAAAUUGAAUUACUAGAACCAAAUGUAUGUCCAGAACAAAGAAAGGGGUCAAGGUUUGGGUAACCGCAUUAAAAACAUUGAAUUUUACUGUACCAUGAACACUUAGUUACCAUUACCAUGCCUUGAGCACCUAGUUACCACAAACAUUAAUUUAGCCACUUUAGAGGUUCCACAAUCACUAUAAAUAAUAUACCAACACCGUACCAUGAAAACAUCAAGAAGAGAGACGGGUACAUGGACCACCAUCAAGUGAGUAGUGACAGCACGCACAAGAAUACCCGGAACCUUUUAGCUUGUCUGUAGUGAUCUGUUUUCUUCGCCACAAAUAAUGAAAGAGGCUGACCAAGCUAGCAACGAGGUAGAGCAAACGUGAUACACGUAGGUUUCAUUCAAGACAUCCAUGUAAGAUUCAUUCAAAACAUUCAUGGAAAUUUCUUGUAAGUUUUCAUGUAAAUUUCAUUCAAGACAUUUGUUAGAGGUGUUGUAUAUACACUUAACGUACAUAUAUCUAUGAUUUCAUGGUUGUUAGUGAUGGCAGAUGAGGAGCAUGCAAGGUGUUUAAUGGAGCAGAUUAUUGCUAGUGGUAGUGGCUCCAACCUGCCCGUAACGUACACCGACGAAGAGGGCAGCCAGGCGGACAUGUUCCUCAACAUGUCCGGUGAUGGCAAUGAAGAGCCCGAGCAAAACCUUGCCGUGACGGAAGGUUCCAUCGAGGUAUAUAUCAUUUCCAUUAUUUUACCCCAUCUAUAAUUUCAUAUUCAUUAUUACUAUGUGCUAAUUAAUGAAUCUUGAACCGUUAGUCCUCUAGAUCAACGAACCGAAAUAAGCCCCGAGGUCUUACAAAGAUAAUGCAGGGAAGGCUUCACAUCAUGGAAGUCACAGAAGAGGGCACAUCGGUUGCUCCCGAACAUGUGGCAAGAAAGUACGUGAGUCAAACCGGGGCAAUCGUAAGGGACAACAUGCCCAUCAGCAUCAGGGAAUGAAAGAGCAAUAGAAAUGAUCUAUACGCACCCCCGGAUACACAAAAGGAUAUGUUGUGGGCAAAUAUCAAGAAACACUUCACAUUUCCCAAAGGAUAUGUUGAAAAAUAUGUGAAAGCGUGGAUGUUGAAGAAGAUGGCCACCCAAUUCCAGACAUUCAAGAAGAUGUUGGAUGCCAACUUCAUCAAGAAGGGUCGAACUCCGGGUUUCAAUGAGUGGCCAAAGUUAAGGGACCACUGGGAGUCGUUUGUCGAAUACAAGACGAGCGAAGGUGGUGCGAGUAAGGUUCACAUCAAUGUUGCCAAUGCUAGCAAGGAGUACCAUCAUCAUCUAGGGCGACGUGGUUACAGCUCUGCAAUUCCCAGAUGGCGCAAGAUGGAACAAGACCUGAUCGAUCGGGGUAUCGUACCAGCAACUCUUGACUGGAUCGAUUGAAAAAUUGGUAUUAUGCUCAUGAAGGCAAUCUGAGCCAAGAGGAUCCGACAUUGGUCUUCAAUAAAACAAUACGUCAGAAGGUCGGAAGGCUUAUUAGGAACAUUGAAGAUGCUAAAGCUGGGAGGUUCAAGGUGGAUAGAGAGAAUGAUGAACUCACAUUGGCCCUCGGGACUGUCAUCUCUAGCACUUCCAGCUCCAGGACUAUCGUCACCACCGGGACCGUCGCUUCCUGCUCGAUCACAGUCUCCAUCUCCAGCACAUCCUGGUGGUGCGAGCGACGACGACAACAACACCCCUCCCUGCCCACCAUUGCCGGGACUAAGACCCGCAUUGAGUAAGGAACCUGCAACACCACUGAAGAAGUCGCGACCACCACCUUCAAGGCAAGUCAGCAAAAGAAGAAAGCAGAGAAGCCUAAACCCACUGAGAAGCCAGCGACUGAUAUGACCGAUGCGGAAAGAUGGAAGGCACUCAAAGAAGAAUGCAGGGAGUGGUUCAGCGAAGGCGAAGGUGAGAAAGUCGUAUGAAUCGAAUUCAAGGAUAUAUAUGAAGUGAACCAUCAGGAUGCCCUUGAUGUCUCUCUCAUCAGCGCCUAGGUUCUGUAAGUGUAUGUUUAUCUAUAAGUAAAUUUUGGCUCAUAUCAUUAUUUUUUUUGCGUGCGUCACCCUACUAACUUCGUCUUCCAUUUUAUGUAGGAUGCUAAUUCAGACGUGCCGCAUAGAAGCGUACUUCCAUGUUGGAUUCAUGGAUCCAUCCCUAGUUAACCAAAAGCCGAUACGGAAGUAGCUAGAGAAAACGUUGGAGGUGGUGUACAACCUCCUGGACAAACUAAACUACAGAAUAGGGGCAAUAUGUGAGGGUCUUGUAGGAUUCCUAGUGGACGAGGUGAUAAAUCCAUAAGGAGAAUAUCAUUCCAACGGACGAGCAUUAGACACACUGAGCAACACCUAGAUGGGAGGAUCCUAGGAAUGACCUCGACAGAUUUUGGUAUAAAUAGUAAUUGUGUAAAUACUAGUUUGAUUUGUAUAGGAAUAUACUAAGAAUUGUAUAUAUAGUAAUUGUACAAAUACUAGUUUGAUUUGUAUGAAUACUAGAUUGAUUUUAUUAUAAAAAAGUUUUAAGUCGUACGUGCAUGCGCCUACAAAGGCGCGGAUGCCUUUUAAUCCCAGUCGGAAAAACAAACUGGUACUAAAGGGGCUCGUGCCGCACCUGGCAUGACCACCCCUUUAGUCCCGGUUGAACGACCCAGGACUAAAGAUCUCCGCGUCUCAAAAAUUUUAUCUCGGAUGCUUUUUAGAGAGAUUUGAGGCCUAUCAACCAAGACUAAUAUCGAGUUUUCUACCAGUGAAACUAACUAACGUUCACAUGGUUUUGACAUUCACCUGCCAUUUGGUGUAGACAAGGGCACCCUAACAUAUGGUUAAUAUUAUUCUUGAAAGAAAAUCCUUUGAUUCAAAAUACUUCAAACCUAAUAAUACAAUACUUCUCACAUCUGAAAAAUAUGAGACGGCCCGACAGUAUUCUAAUCGACGCAAUAAUAUUUUGAGGGCAGCACUACUACAGCGACCCUCAUUCGUGCCGGUGCUGGGACUCCUAUCACGACCCUGAUACAAAUGAGGGUACAUUAUUGGUGCCAGUGCUAGAACAGCCACGAAUAACUUGCUAAACGUGCUGUUACACUCACUACAGGGACCAAGAAGGUAGAUAAAUUACACGACAUAGCCUUGGUUGCCGUGGAAGCGCCAAGAAGGGAGACAAAUUACAGGGACCACACCAUCAAGUAGAUAGUGACAAUAUGCAAAAGAAUACCCGCGCCUGUUAGCAUGUGAACUGACCACACCACGAAACGUGAUACACGGCAAGCGUACCAAGGCCUUGCUGUGCAGACUAUGCAUGGACAACACAUGGUACCUGACCGCUUUUGGCCUCAGACACAUCGAAAAACUGCAUCGUUCCACGUUGUACAUCCAUUGCUAGUUUAUCUAUAUUACAUAAUAUAUUAUUAGCUAUUUGAAUAGAAUGAACCAAUUAAAAAAUUGCGUUGUAUUUUUAGUACCGGCUGCAGGAUGGUGUUACCAACCAGUACUAAUUGGCCUGUAGGAGUGAUGGUUAUUAGACUUGGUACUGUUGUUAGCAUCAUUAACCUAAUUGUGCGCCGUAUGAAUUUGGGGAUGCAAAGCUAGCUCUCUAUGAAUGUGAGGGAUGGAAAGCUAGUUCUCUAGUAGUAAUUAUAUAUAUGACAGUCAAGAAAUCGAACACUAUGCUGCUACGAGUCACCAUCAUUUCCUUCAUUGACAAUCUGACAUAGGUGAAGCUGCUUCAAUAAUUUCCUUCGCGCAGUCGUGGAGCUUAUUGGAUUAUCACCAGGACGGGACACGGAAAUGGCCAGCAAUGAAGCUGAUUGCCGUCUGAGGAAGACUACAUACUUACCUAUGAAAUGAAGCGAUUGCAUAGACUAAUGAAGCAUUGCAUAUUUGCAUGUGAGUGUGGCAGAUAAUUCUGCAGGACAUGAUUGCAAUCCACGCACCAUCGAGAAGACUGGGGCGAUGGGGUUGCCUCAUCAAUAAUCACGUGGAUGCAUGCAUGCAUGUUCCCGCAACCGGACAAGGGUCUGAUAUAUGGCUAUAGUAUUACUGAGCCCACAUCAAUAAUUUCCACUGGUGUAUCGUGUGGGAAGAAUCAACAUACUACACCUCGAGUUCUUGGAACUAACUGACGUUCACAUGCAACCUCCACAAGGUGCUGUAUGCUUUUGACAUUCACCUGCCAGUUCGUGUAGAGAAGGACACCCUAACGUAUAGUUAAUAUUAUCCAUUUCAUGAGUAAAAUACUGUGAUUCAAAAAUACUUCAAAUCCCUUGAGACAAUACUUCUCACUUGACUAACCACUAACCAACCCCGAAACCCUAACUCAACUCCGAACCCUAACCCCUAACGGCAUAACCACUCCGUUUUGCCGGCGAGAUGGAGGAACUGGCUGGAAGGUAGAGAGGGCAGCGGUCCAGGGUUGAAAACGACGGGCGAGCGCAGUAACAUGUGGAGGAGGAAGUGCCACGUAUUCGUUCACCGCUAUUGGGCAGCGACACACGACACGCCCAAUAAGAUCUUCGCACGGUAGAAGGACGUCAUGUAUUCAAUAAUGUUAUUGGUCCCCCAUGUGCAGAAGGGCGCGCGCGUAUGGAAUAACAAGUAGGGACACUGCAACUAAUCUACUCUGCUCGUCCAGUCCCUAGCCUAUAAAUAGAUGCCAUGCUAGCUCUUGUUGUGCUCACAAUUAAUCCGAUUACACACGAGCUUCUCUCCCUGGCCAAGACACAACCAUAGUAUGAUGAAGAACAUGGCACUAGCCGGCAAUGGUAUGAAGAAGUUAAUCCUCGCUGUUCUCUUACUGUGUCUAGUUAUAGGGCAGAUACAAGUGGAAGCUAAGAGCUGCUGCCCAUCCACCACUGCAAGAAAUGUCUACAAUACCUGCCGUUUCACGGGUACAUCCCGUCCAACGUGUGCAAAACUGUCAGGCUGCAAAAUUAUCAGCGGGAACAAAUGCAAGCCCCCUAACGACCACCUCACCCUUGACCCGGACACUGGUAAAUAAUAAAUUUAUCUCACUUGAUUUCUUCGUGAUUUGAGUCGUUAAUGUAUUUUCCAUCUGAUGAAACGUAUUGGUUUUGCAUUGAAGAGGAAGUUAAUGUGCUUAACUUCUGCAAGUUGGGGUGUGCGUCGUCUGUGUGCAACAACAUCAACGCUGGUAAGCAACUUUUGCUCAGACAGAGAAAACAAUAAUCAUUAAUUAGCGGCAGCUAGAAUCCUAUAAUCUAAUAUAUAUAUAUAUAUAUAAUUUUAUCAGCUCUGGGAAAUGAAGAGGCGAACGAUGCCGUUGAGAGUUGCGACCAAGCCUGCUCUAGCUUCUGCAGCGUGCAUGUUGGCAGCGCCACCGUGGUUGCUUAAGCAAAUGCAUCCAACUAGAUCGUCCUUGUGCUGAAUAAUUGGAUAUCGUAUCCACUUAAAGCUGCCUUGUGUAGUACGUCUUUGUGUCUCUCUUUAUAUUCCAAUAAGGUCGGUGAUCUUGAUGCCACACACUCAGAUGUGUGUUCAUCUCCAGAUACUACUCCAUGCUACCUGCCCUUUGUGUUUUGUUCAAUAACUGGGUAUCAUAUCCCAGCCAGUAUGCCGUCUGUUUUGUGUUUGUUUCCUUCUAGUUCCAAAGGGGUCAUCAUGAUGUUACCUUCUUUCAAUAUGGUGCUUUGCAUGACUACUGUUGUAUGGUACCAUCUUGUGGCCAAUAAGUACAUCUUAUCCUAUGACCUUUGCUAUGACCCUUUGCAAAUAAGUAGAAGAUUGUUAUAAGCGUCAAUACUCCGUAUAAAUUGAUCGCUGCUGUGAGUUCCCUUUCAGCUUAUCGUAGGCAUACAUUAUUGCUAGCACGGUAAAGCCAACCAACACGAAUGAUGAAGUAAACGUAGCGGUACUUCUGUAUACCAACACCCUUACUUAAAUGUACCGGUGUCAUUCCCUACUGGCACAUAUAUUCUUAUAUGCUAGCCAGCUUGUAAAAUUAACCAAUUAAAAUAAUUAUUUCAAGAUAGAAAUAACUUAUCGGUUUCUGGAAGCAUGUGUAAUGUGAAUUCAAGGACUCGACGGAAGUUGAAUCACUUCAUCUAUAUUGCUUUCAGUAUUUUGGGUAACUAAAUUUAACAUUUGCACAUACAAAUGUUAAAGUACAAAUGUUAAAUCUAGUUACCCAAGCAGAAUAUGAAGAUAGUUUAUAGUAUAUAUAUACUAUAUAAAUCUAGUUAACAUUUAGUCUAAAUGUUAAAUCUAGUUACCUAAAAUCCUGAAAGCAAAAUGUAUAAAUAUAUAUCUUUUAAGGCAGUAUAAGCUUCGAUUCCUAUUGCUGCUCUGUUAAAUCUCAUCUUUCGUUGUGGCCCAACACUCUAGUAUGCAUGUUGCACCAAGCUUCUUUGAGCCGCUCUGCCCUCUGAUUUUGCUGCGUAGGGGAAUCUUUAUCAGGUUGGGCUACUUCCAGUUGUGCGAUGUAAAGAUUCGUAUUUUCUAGAAGGUAGACAAAAAACUCGCGUUCUCUUAAGGCAACAACCGGAAGAUUCUGCAGCGCACAGGGCAUACCAUUAUUGUAGAAACGACCUUUAGUACCGAUCUCCAACCCCCUUUAAAACUGGUUUUGCAACCGGUACCGUUAUGUCGGUCCUUUAGUACCAGAUCAAAUAAGUACCGGUUGGUAACCAGUAUCAACUUGUUUUGCGGCCAAAAAAAUAAAGAAAAAAACAGUCAGAAGGCUCGCACACACGCGCAUCACAUGAAAUAUGCGUGUGCGGGGUCCAUGGGAUUCGAACCCAUGAAAUCAAGCUGCACGCGACCCUUCGUUACCAUCUCACCUACAUAGCGCAUAUGCUUUCCUGAAGUAACCCGUGGAGGAGGCUUUAGUACCGGGUCAUAACACCACCCGGUACUAAAAAUGACUCUUCAGUACCGGGUCAUAACACCACCUGAUACUAGUAUCGGAUGGUGUAAUGACCCGAUACUAAAAGGCCUCUAGGGACCCUCAAAUUUGAACCCGGUACUAAUGCUAAUAUUAGUAGCGGGUCAAAGUGCAGCCAGAACUAAAGCAUGGGAUGAAAGGUCAUAUUUCUAGUAGUGUAUAGUUGUUGUGAAGGACUGACUUGGCUGUCCUCUCUCUUCUCCAUCCCCUUGGUCUUACGCCGCCGCUCGCACGCGAGCCGGUGCCCAACCAGAGGAGUGAGAGCUAGGGGCAGGUUGGGAGGUGGGGAUAGUGACUGGUGGCCAGGGUGAUGGUUGAUCCUGGUGGGGUUAGGGUUUCAGGGUUUUCGAGCUUCCUAUGGUCGGCGAACCUAGAGGAGAAGCUCAACAUCAGCUGCAACCCGCGAUGGUGGUGGUUUGGCCGGCGCCCGAGGCGAGGCAGCGCGGGAGUGCUGCCGGUGGGUUGGUGUUGGCACUCAUUAUUGACAACUAUUUUGUUCAUAAAAUAACACUCAAACUUGCUGCUGCUGCUGCUGCCAUCGCCACCCUAGCCAUAAUAUAAAGGCAAAAUUUGCUAAAGGACAUGCAAAAUGAUGCUAGUUUGCUGGCGGGCAUCGUUGACCUUGUAAUAUGCUACAAGACACUCUAGUUGUGUAUCAAUUUGCUGAAAGACAUUGCUAUGACUAAAAUAAUGUUUCUGGACUGAGUUGGAGAGAGAGAUGGAGUGAAAUGUCUGUUUUGCCCAUGACCCCACUGGUCAGAUCCUUCUUCUUCCACCCUCCUUUGUUCUUUCUUCAACCAUUACCCAGCUCCAGCGUGUUGCAGAUCUACGAGGGUGGCGGCCUGGGGCGAGGGGCAUCGCUCGCCCUUGGAGGAGCGCUGCGAGCGACGGCGCGGGGGCGGCAACAGCGCGUCAGAACCUGACUGUUCGUUAGCUCCUCUCGCUGCUGGGGAAGAAGGAGGGGGAUGGGCCAUGGACGGGGUUCCCUUGAAAACCUCAGCGUCGAGCUCGGGCGGCUACGCGCAGGCAGCACUAGGCUGCUUCACGGGGAGGGGGCGCGGCCAAUCAUUGGCACCCCACUGGUCCAAUGCUGAUGAAGAUGGUGCCAGCGUCGUGUGAGGACAUCUCAUCUCCUCGAGUUCCAUGGCCAGCACAGGUGAGCUGCCGCUACCACAAAACAGAGGUUUCGUGAGAGUCAAAAAACCUUAUGAAAAUAGCUAAAACCAUCAUGAAAAUAAUCCGUGACAUGACACUCUCACGAAAAUCCUCUCACAAAUAUGGUGCCAUGAAAAUACCAUUUUCAUGAGAGUGAACUGUCAUGAUUUUAUAAGCGUCAAUACUCGGUAUAAAUUGACUACUGCUGUGAGUUCCCUUUCAGCUUAUCGUAGGCAUACAUUAUUGCUAGCACGGUAAAGAGAACCAACACGAAUGAUGAAGUAAACGUAGCGGAACUUUUGUAUACCAACACCCUUACGUACCGGUGUCAUUCCCCACUGCCACAUAUAUUCUUAUAUGCUAACCAGCUUUGAAAAUUAAGCGAUUAAAAUAAUUAUUUCAAGAUAGAAAUAACUUAUCGGCUUCUCGAAGCUUGUGUAAUGUGAAUUCAAGGACUCGAUGGAAGUUGAAUCGCUUCAUCUAGAUUGCUUUCAGGAUUUUGGGUAACUAAAUUUAACAUUUGCACACACAAAUGUUAAUGUACAAAUGUUAAAUCUAGUUACCCAAGCAGAAUAUGAAGAUACUCUAUAGUAUAUAUGUACUAUAUAAAUCUAGUAAACAUUUAGUCUAAAUGUUAAAUCUAGUUACCUAAAAUCCUAAAAGCAAAAUGUAUAAAUAUAUAUCUUUUAAGGCAGUAUAAGCUUCAAUUCUCUGUUAAAUCUCAUCUUUCGUUGUGGCCCAACACUCUAGUAUGCAUGUUGCACCAAGCUUCUUUGAGCCGCUCUGCCCUCUGAUUUUGCUGCGUAGGGGAAUCUUUAUCAGGUUGGGCUACUUCCAGUUGUGCGAUGUAAAGCUUCGUAUCUUUUAGAAGGUAGACAAAAUACCCGCGUUCUGGAAGAUUCUGCAACGUGCACGUUGGCGCUGCCACCGUGGUUGCUUAAGCAAAUGCAUCCAACUGAAUCGUCCUUAAGCUGAAUAAUUGGAUAUGGUAUCCACUGCUUAAAGCUGCCAUGUUUAGUACGUCUUUGUUUUUCUCUCUUUAUAUUCCAAUAAGGUCGGUGAUCUUGAUGCCACACACUCAGAUGUGUGUUUAUCUCCAGAUACUACUCCAUGCUACCUACCCUUUGUGUUUUGUUCAAUAACUGGGUAUCAUAUCCUAGCCAGUGUGCCAUCUGUUUUGUGUUUGUUUCCUUCUAGUUCCAAAGGGGUCAUCAUGAUGUUAC